RNAcentral lists this ribosomal RNA (253 nucleotides) under uncultured bacterium. RNAcentral describes it as "partial 16S ribosomal RNA". It matches the Rfam family "Bacterial small subunit ribosomal RNA", at positions 524 to 776 of the family's 1533-position model. The record is from RNAcentral.
UACGUAGGGGGCAAGCGUUGUCCGGAAUCAUUGGGCGUAAAGCGCGUGUAGGCGGCUUGAUAAGUCCGCUCUGAAAGCCCCGGGCUCAACCCGGGAACUGCGUCCGAUACUGGCAGGCUUGAAUCCGGGAGAGGGAUGUGGAAUUCCAGGUGUAGCGGUGAAAUGCGUAGAUAUCUGGAGGAACACCGGUGGCGAAGGCGGCAUCCUGGACCGGUAUUGACGCUGAGGCGCGAAAGCCAGGGGAGCAAACGGG